UAAUUGAAGAGUUUGAUCAUGGCUCAGAUUGAACGCUGGCGGCAGGCCUAACACAUGCAAGUCGAGCGGUAACAG
Molecule: ribosomal RNA, 75 nt
Filed under: Proteus mirabilis
Lineage: Bacteria; Pseudomonadati; Pseudomonadota; Gammaproteobacteria; Enterobacterales; Morganellaceae
Also listed under: 11 other names
Description: partial 16S ribosomal RNA
Rfam family: Bacterial small subunit ribosomal RNA
Source: RNAcentral